AAGAGUUGAAUUACUCUAUUGAAUUGUGAAAUUGCAUUGAAAUAGUGUUUUUGAGAAAACUGACUUCGAUAAUGCACUUUUGCAGGAUAGAAGUCCGAAUGUGAAAUUGACAGCUUACAAACCAAAUUGGGGGUAAAAGAAACUCGCUGGCGAAGUAGGCUCGGCAAUCCAUCGCUCCUACGCAAUGAUAUCGCCAAAAGAAGAUUUUCGGCGUCAAUAGUCACGAGCGCGGGUCGCGGUUCUCGGGAAAGCGCUAGAGACGCAUUUCUCUCAUUCCAGAAUCAAAUAAAGGUGGGUUGUGCUUACCGAAGUGAUUAGGUCACUUCCAUGCCAAAGUAAAAUAUGGUUUCAUUUGACGCAUAAAUGAAUAUGAAUGCUAAAUACACAUGAGUUGGCAUGUAUGAAUAUGGGCAUAUGUUAAUGCUAGAUGACUUAUAAUGAUUCUCAUAUAAAUAUGAAUGCUAGGUGCACAUGGACAUGAAAGCUAGACAUAGUUAUGCUAGACGGAUAGUUAUGAAUGUGAAUACAUAUAAUUGUCGAUAUAUGAAUGUGAAAACUAGACGCAUAGUAUGCUAAAUUCAUAUAAUCAAAUAUAUGAUAUAUAAAUGUUGAACUUGUAAACGCCAAGGGCAUGUAAGUUGAAUGUGAAAUGUGAAAUGUGAAAUGUGACAUGUGAACAUAGAGGUUAAAGCAUAUGUAGUUAUCGACAUGUGAAAGCGAAUAGUUGAUGCCUAUAUCUAAACGUAUAUGAAAGUGAAUGUACUAUAGUUCGAGCUAUAUGAAAGUCGAUAAUUCCAGUUGAUUAGAGACCUCGAUAGUAACAAGACAAGCGAGAAUAUGUAAAUUAGAAUCCUAGGAAUGAACAACUAGGAUGAUACAUAGAUCGAGUGGUAUGACCUAGUGGUAGUAAACAUAGGUCGGACAUGAACCUAGUGUCAUUGGACAUAGGUCAAGUAAAUAAACCUAGAGUCGAGUUCUAGGUGAAAAUGAUAUAGAACCUAGCAAGUGAACCUAGGUUAUGAUGUAUAAUGAGACUUAGUACAUUUAAACUAAGUUGUGGAUUUUAGUGGUAUAGUGACCACUAGGAAAGGAUUAGUUUCGACCAGGAGGGUCGUCAACAUAGGGUAAAGUGAGUAAACCCUCAAGUUGUGAAAGUGAAUUCCGGAAUCCCAAGAUCUGUGAUGACCUUGGUAUCAAGGCUAGGGCGUGUGCGACGAUUUCGCCGCCGGAUGGUUAGCCAGUUUGUGGAUCCUACCGCCUGUUGACUGAACCACUGUCGUGGCGUGUGCGACGAUUUCGCCGCCGGGUGGCUAAGUCAUAGACCUAGGCUGUUGUUGGGUGAGGUGCGAUUUGUUCGCCGCCAGACAGCUAGGACAGGAGUACGGUGAGCUGUUGCCAGCUGAGGUGCAUGUGAGAGUUCCUUCACCUCGAGCUAGACAUUGCGCAGACUAUCCGCGAUUGAUUGACUCAAGACCGAGUCUG
This 1482-nucleotide long non-coding RNA is filed under the name Ananas comosus (pineapple). RNAcentral's name for it is "long non-coding RNA (ACOM_LNC006967)". Lineage: Eukaryota; Viridiplantae; Streptophyta; Magnoliopsida; Poales; Bromeliaceae. The record is from RNAcentral.